UGUAUCUGAAGCCUGACGAGGAUGAGAACCUCCGGGGGCAAGAGGUUCGACCCGAGCGAAGCGAGAGAACGUUGCGCCAGCAACGGCCCGCAGUGGCGAGCCACGCAGUGGCGAGUCAUCCUCUAUCACCGACCA
Molecule: small RNA, 135 nt
Filed under: Salmonella enterica subsp. enterica serovar Bareilly
Lineage: Bacteria; Pseudomonadati; Pseudomonadota; Gammaproteobacteria; Enterobacterales; Enterobacteriaceae
Also listed under: 2 other names
Description: RtT sRNA
Rfam family: RtT RNA
About the family: This family represents a bacterial cis-regulatory element known as RtT RNA. The exact function of RtT is unknown although it is thought that it may be involved in changing the cellular response in relation to amino acid starvation.
Source: RNAcentral